UACGUAGGGUGCAAGCAUUGUCCGGAAUUAUUGGGCGUAAAGAGCUCGUAGGCGGUCUGUCGCGUCGGCUGUGAAAUCCCGAGGCUCAACCUCGGGUCUGCAGUCGAUACGGGCAAACUGGAGUACUGCAGGGGGACUGGAAUUCCUGGUGUAGCGGUGAAAUGCGCAGAUAUCAGGAGGAACACCGGUGGCGAAGGCGGGUCUCUGGGCAGUAACUGACGCUGAGGAGCGAAAGCGUGGGGAGCGAACAGG
This 252-nucleotide ribosomal RNA is filed under the name uncultured bacterium. Its description in RNAcentral is "partial 16S ribosomal RNA". It matches the Rfam family "Bacterial small subunit ribosomal RNA", at positions 524 to 776 of the family's 1533-position model. The record is from RNAcentral.